GCGAGCGUGGCGGAACUGGCAGACGCGCAAGGUUUAGGUCCUUGUGUCCCUCGGGACGUGGAGGUUCGACUCCUCUCGCUCGCA
RNAcentral lists this transfer RNA (84 nucleotides) under Planctomycetota bacterium. RNAcentral describes it as "Planctomycetes bacterium tRNA-Leu". It matches the Rfam family "tRNA". From Rfam's summary of the family: Transfer RNA (tRNA) molecules are approximately 80 nucleotides in length. Their secondary structure includes four short double-helical elements and three loops (D, anti-codon, and T loops). RNAcentral also lists the same sequence under 2 other names. Lineage: Bacteria; Pseudomonadati; Planctomycetota. The record is from RNAcentral.